GGAGAAGGAACGAGUAGUGUGCAGAGGCAAACCACGACGACUCUUAGGACGACUCUCCCCCUUUCUUUCUCUGCAGCCGCUACCGCGGCGAUUCCGCCCGCCGCUCGCGCCGCCGCCACGACGACCGGGAGUGCCCUGAAAAAGAAGAGCACGAGAGAGGGCGCCUGCGUCGUUGCCGCCGCCACCUUCCUCCUCUCGAGUCCUACUUCGUUAGACUACCACCAAUGAGAAUGUUAUCAUGAGAACGAGUAUAAGAACAGCUUAUACGUAGACGACAAAUAUGUAGGCUGGAUUGGAGUGAAAACUUUACCUGAACAGGUUCCACACUUCCAGUGUGCUUCCCAAAAGUCUACUAUCUCUAGUAACAUCUACAUCUCUUUACAAAUGUCCGAAAACAACCUCAACGGGGACUAGGUGCUAGGUAUUAUUAACGAAAAUCUCCGUGGGUUCUUGUGUCGCGGAGUUUAACCUAACUUCUAGAGAAGACCUUCGUCGAUCUACAUUGAAUAGGUCCGUACGGCCUACGUUACCAGGUGGUACCUAAAAUAAGACGUAUAAUAUUAUGUUGAGACGCCGUACUCUAGAACUUUAGACAAGUCACCCGUACCUUCUGUAUACCUUCUGAUGGGUAUUUACAACAUCCAGUGAGAUACCCUCCCCGAAAUCGAAGUAAAACACGGGAACUAGAGAGACAAUUUACCCCCAGUGUGUUUCAAGUCGAGUAUUGAAAACCUGUCGGAGCCCAUCCGUUAGGACGAAAACGACUUAUGAAGUUACUCGUCCAAGGUUCUUGUUAGGCGCACUGGGUACUUUUACUAUAACAAGGUGUAAACGGUGGUAUGAAAAUAAUGGAUCCGCUUACCUGUAUAGUGGUGAAACGUUCUCUCCAAACCGAAGCCCUCUGGUAUCAUCCUUUACACCAAUGAUCCUUACUCUGUCAGACACUAACAAGUCCUCUCCUGGGUUGGACGUCGUCUAGCCAGAUGCCCUCUUCACACCGUCUAGUAGAACUCAUAAUACCACAAUUGGAUGUACGACUAAGUUCCCCUUGUACAGUUAAACACUAACCGCGUAGGUUGAGUCGGAUACCACUGUAAGAAGUUAAACUACCUUGAUAGUAGAAUAGUUCUAUAGGUGUCUUCGCUAUAGGACACCUCAGAUAGAUUGGGAAAUCGACUCCCAUUUGACAUGUCAUAUAAUAAAACACAAAACACAUUUAUAAAGUACAUUACAUCUGUGUGACCCACGACAUCCUACAGAGGACUCCUAUUCCUUCCAAAGCGGAAAUCUUACACGGGGGGAAAUGAGAUCACUCUUAACAUAUACUUCGAGACAGCUGUAACAUCCGUGCGGUAUUAACUACAUGGACUACUAUAGUGUCCGAGUUUAUUAUUUUUGUAAACUAUCAUAGCACCAAAAAAGUGAUAGAUCGAAUAACACUAAGAAGCGAAGAUGACUUUCUAUAAGAAUAUAAAAGAGAGUCGUAAAGCAGAGCGGAGACAUCCACGGAACCGCAGUCUAUACGUAAACACUAGUUUUCUCACGACGGGAAACUUCCAGACUCCUCGGUCCUUGACUAGCUUUAGUACGACCUUGGACCUAAGGGUUCUACGUUUCAACAUGUAAUCAGCCGUCACGGGCCACCCUUUUGACUCCUAUUUCCUAUGUAUAGAUAAGUUUAUAAGAGGUAACGGUAGACGAACGGGACAUCCCAACGUGGUGUAGCCUCUUAGUUCUUCUUAUCUAUGAUGAAACGUCGUAUACUUGACGAUGACAACAUGUCGGAGUAAACGUGUCGUACACGACCUAGUACCGCACCGCUUACGAACACGUAAACUAUUCCUGUAUUUUGUCCCGCUUGUAACUUUAGAACUCUCUACUGUCUCUUAACGCUUACCGUGACUAAGGUGACAGCGUCUAUCCCAGUCUUCUCUCACACUACCUGACUUACUCUGACCUUCGGGAGAGACGGACUUCUACGAUAAGACUUGCGGUUCCCUUCGACUAGGAAGAAGGACAUGUUUAGUGGAGAGAGAGGAAUCGGCCACCUUAAUCUAGGGACACGGCAUGACGACGGUAGGCACAGCUGCAAUCGCGGUAAAACACGAACAAGACUCGGAGACAUGAUAUGCAUGUCAUUUUACUCACUUCAAUCUUCGGUACAUCUCUCUUACAAAGUAGUCCCUACUUUGAGGGUUUGUUUUACUUCUCAUAGUCUCCUUUACCGUACAUAUAACGUGGUCUCUAAACGUCACUUCCAAUGUGAUUAGAGUGUGGGAGAUCACACGUUCUGUUCAUGCAACUUACGCUAG
This 2312-nucleotide ribosomal RNA is filed under the name Triticum aestivum (bread wheat). Its description in RNAcentral is "partial small subunit ribosomal RNA". The record is from RNAcentral. Lineage: Eukaryota; Viridiplantae; Streptophyta; Magnoliopsida; Poales; Poaceae.